RNAcentral lists this ribosomal RNA (2459 nucleotides) under feces metagenome. RNAcentral's name for it is "bacterial LSU rRNA". It matches the Rfam family "Bacterial large subunit ribosomal RNA", at positions 14 to 2527 of the family's 2925-position model. The record is from RNAcentral.
AGCGCACAUGGUGGAUGCCAUGGCGUCAGGAGGCGAAGAAGGACGUGCUAAUCUGCGAAAAGCUGGGGCGAGCCGAUAAGGGGCGCAAUAACCUCAGAUAUCCGAAUGGGGCAACCCGUCAUAGUAAUAUGACAUUAUAACAUAGGUUAUAAGGCGAACUAGGGGAAGUGAAACAUCUCAGUACCCUAAGGAAAAGAAAUCAAAAGAGAUUUCCUAAGUAGCGGCGAGCGAAAGGGAAGGAGCCCAAAAGUUUAUUAUGUAGUAGUGGAACACAUUGGGAAAUGUGAGGGUACAGGGUGAUACUCCCGUACACGACGUUGCAUAGUAGAUGAUACAAGAGUAGGGCGGGACACGUGGUAUCCUCUGAAUAUGGGGGGACCAUCCUCCAAGGCUAAAUACUACCUGACGACCGAUAGUGAACCAGUACCGUGAGGGAAAGGCGAAAAGAACCCAGGAGAUGGGAGUGAAAUAGAGCCUGAAACCGUGUGCGUACAAGCAGUGGGAGCAUGGAGCAAUCUGUGUGACUGCGUACCUUUUGUAUAAUGGGUCAGCGAGUUGUCUGUAUUAGCGAGGUUAACUUUGAUGAGGGAGCCGUAGGGAAACCGAGUCUUAAAAGGGCGAGAAGUUGAUACAGGCAGACCCGAAACUAGGUGAUCUAGUCCUGGACAGGCUGAAAGCAGGGUAACACCUGCCGGAGGGCCGAACCCACUAACGUUGCAAAGUUAGGGGAUGAUUUGGGACUAGGGGUGAAAGGCCAAUCAAACCUAGUGAUAGCUGGUUCUCCCCGAAAGCUAUUUAGGUAGCGUCCUGUGAGGACGGACGGGGGUAGAGCACUGUUACGGCAAGGGGCCCAUCCCGGGUUGCCAAACCGUUGCAAACUACGAAUACCGUCCAGUUGGAAGCAGGGGACACACGGUGGGUGCUAACGUUCAUCGUGAAGAGGGAAACAACCCGGACCGCCAGCUAAGAUCCCAAAGUUCUAGUUAAGUGGGAAACGAUGUGGGAAGGCAAAGACAGCCAGGAUGUUGGCUUAGAAGCAGCCAUCAUUUAAAGAAAGCGUAAUAGCUCACUGGUCGAGUCGGCCUGCGCGGAAGAUAUAACGGGGCUAAACUAGACAUCGAAGCUGCGGAUUUGCACAUAGUGCAAGUGGUAGGGGAGCGUUCUGUAAACCAAAGAAGAUGAGUUGUAAGGCGAGUUGGAGGUAACAGAAGUGCGAAUGCUGACGCAAGUAACGAUAAAACGAGUGAAAAACUCGUUCGCCGGAAGACCAAGGGUUCCUGUCCAACGUUAAUCGGGGCAGGGUGAGUCGGUGCCUAAGGCGAGGCUGAGAAGCGUAGUCGAAGGGAAACAGGUUAAUAUUCCUGUACCUAAUAUUAUUGCGAUGGGGUGACGGAGAAGGUUAGGUUAGCAGAAGAACGGUAGUUUCUGUGAAAGGCAGUAGGGAGCGUGAGGGAAAAAAGACUUACGUUAUGAACUGAGAGCUGAGACGAAGUAUCUACGGAUAUGAAGUAACUGAGACCAGGCUUCCAGGAAAAGCCUCUAAGCUCUAGAUAAUAUUAGGCCGUACCCCAAACCGACACAGGUGGUCGGGUAGAGGAUACCAAGGCGCUUGGGAGAACCCGGGUGAAGGAACUAGGCAAAAAUGUACCGUAACUUCGGGAGAAGGUACGCUGUGACAGGUGCAAUCAACACUGAUGAAGCUUGACACAGCCGCAGAUAAAUGGUGGCUGGGACUGUUUAACAAAAACACAGCACUCUGCGAACCUGAAAGGGGAAGUAUAGGGUGUGACACCUGCCCGGUGCCGGAAGGUUAAAUGAUGGGGUUAGACGCAAGUUGAAGCCCUUGAGUGAAGCCCCGGUAAACGGCGGCCGUAACUAUAACGGUCCUAAGGUAGCGAAAUUCCUUGUCGGGCAAGUUCCGACCUGCACGAAUGGUGUAACCAUGGCCACGCUGUCUCCACCCGGGACCCAGUGAAACCGAAAUCGCUGUGAAGAUGCAGUGUACCCGCGGCUAGACGGAAAGACCCCGUGAACCUUUACUGCAGCUUGACACUGAACCUUGAACCUGUUUGUGCAGGAUAGGCGGGAGACAUAGAAGUAGAAGCGCCAGCUUUUAUGGAGUCGACCUUGAAAUACCGCCCUGACAUGUUUGAGGUUCUAACUAAGUACAACACAUACGAGGACAGUGUCUGGUAGGCAGUUUGACUGGGGCGGUCUCCUCCCAAAGGGUAACGGAGGAGCACGAAGGUCAGCUGAUCACGGUCGGACAUCGUGAGGUCAGUGCAAUGGCAUAAGCUGGCUUGACUGCGAGAGCAACAACUCGAGCAGGUGCGAAAGCAGGUCAUAGUGAUCCGGUGGUUCCACAUGGACGGGCCAUCGCUCAACGGAUAAAAGGUACUCUGGGGAUAACAGGCUGAUACCGCCCAAGAGUUCAUAUCGACGGCGGUGUUUGGCACCUC